RNAcentral lists this ribosomal RNA (468 nucleotides) under uncultured bacterium. RNAcentral describes it as "partial 16S ribosomal RNA". It matches the Rfam family "Bacterial small subunit ribosomal RNA", at positions 28 to 507 of the family's 1533-position model. The record is from RNAcentral.
GACGAACGCUGGCGGCGUGCUUAACACAUACAAGUCGAACGGAAAGGCCCUGCUUUUGUGGGGUGCUCGAGUGGCGAACGGGUGAGUAACACGUGAGUAACCUGCCCUUGACUUUGGGAUAACUUCAGGAAACUGGGGCUAAUACCGGAUAGGAGCUCCUGCUGCAUGGUGGGGGUUGGAAAGUUUCGGAGGUUGGGGAUGGACUCGCGGCUUAUCAGCUUGUUGGUGGGGUAGUGGCUUACCAAGGCUUUGACGGGUAGCCGGCCUGAGAGGGUGACCGGCCACAUUGGGACUGAGAUACGGCCCAGACUCCUACGGGAGGCAGCAGUGGGGAAUAUUGCACAAUGGGCGGAAGCCUGAUGCAGCAACGCCGCGUGCGGGAUAACGGCCUUCGGGUUGUAAACCGCUUUCGCCUGUGACGAAGCGUGAGUGACGGUAAUGGGUAAAGAAGCACCGGCUAACUACGUG